This 234-nucleotide long non-coding RNA is filed under the name Lathyrus oleraceus (garden pea). RNAcentral describes it as "Pisum sativum (pea) long non-coding RNA (PSAT_LNC027156)". The record is from RNAcentral. Lineage: Eukaryota; Viridiplantae; Streptophyta; Magnoliopsida; Fabales; Fabaceae.
AUAAUCUUAUCUUGAAAUAUUUGUAAUUGAUUAAGGAUUUUUGUUCUCGAUUUAACGUUUCUUUGAAGAUUUAUUUAAGAUUUCAGAGGUUUGUAAGAGUGUGUGAUGUUGUGAUUGGUUCCGAAAAUUCUAGUGAAAAAGAAGGAGGUUCUUAUCUCUAAAUUGAUCUUGGUAGUACUAUGUGGAAGCCCACAAACAGGGUAGGAGUUCUUCUCAAUUUUUGGACAAACCAAC